Hordeum vulgare subsp. vulgare (domesticated barley) is the source of this 125-nucleotide non-coding RNA. The record is from Rfam. NCBI's taxonomy places the organism in Eukaryota, Viridiplantae, Streptophyta, Magnoliopsida, Poales, Poaceae.
GAGGUACUCCCUCCGUCCAGAAAUAUUUGUCUGAGAAAUGGAUAAAAAUGGAUGUAUUUAAAACUAAAAUACAUCUAGAUACAUCCUUUCCCCCGACAAGUAUUUCUGGACGGAGGGAGUAUUAC